GACGAACGCUGGCGGCGUGCUUAACACAUGCAAGUCGAACGGAAAGGCCCUGCUUUUGUGGGGUGCUCGAGUGGCGAACGGGUGAGUAACACGUGAGUAACCUGCCCUUGACUUUGGGAUAACUUCAGGAAACUGGGGCUAAUACCGGAUAGGAGCUCCUGCUGCAUGGUGGGGGUUGGAAAGUUUCGGCGGUUGGGGAUGGACUCGCGGCUUAUCAGCUUGUUGGUGGGGUAGUGGCUUACCAAGGCCUUGACGGGUAGCCGGCCUGAGAGGGUGACCGGCCACAUUGGGACUGAGAUACGGCCCAGACUCCUACGGGAGGCAGCAGUGGGGAAUAUUGCACAAUGGGCGGAAGCCUGAUGCAGCAACGCCGCGUGCGGGAUGACGGCCUUCGGGUUGUAAACCGCUUUCGCCUGUGACGAAGCGCGAGUGACGGUAAUGGGUAAAGAAGCACCGGCUAACUACGUG
This 468-nucleotide ribosomal RNA is filed under the name uncultured bacterium. RNAcentral describes it as "partial 16S ribosomal RNA". It matches the Rfam family "Bacterial small subunit ribosomal RNA", at positions 28 to 507 of the family's 1533-position model. The record is from RNAcentral.